GAUGAACGCUGGCGGCGUGCCUAAUACAUGCAAGUCGAGCGAACAGACGAGGAGCUUGCUCCUCUGACGUUAGCGGCGGACGGGUGAGUAACACGUGGAUAACCUACCUAUAAGACUGGGAUAACUUCGGGAAACCGGAGCUAAUACCGGAUAAUAUAUUGAACCGCAUGGUUCAAUAGUGAAAGACGGUUUUGCUGUCACUUAUAGAUGGAUCCGCGCCGCAUUAGCUAGUUGGUAAGGUAACGGCUUACCAAGGCAACGAUGCGUAGCUGACCUGAGAGGGUGAUCGGCCACACUGGAACUGAGACACGGUCCAGACUCCUACGGGAGGCAGCAGUAGGGAAUCUUCCGCAAUGGGCGAAAGCUUGACGGAGCAACGCCGCGUGAGUGAUGAAGGUCUUCGGGUCGUAAAACUCUGUUAUUAGGGAAGAACAAAUGUGUAAGUAACUAUGCACGUCUUGACGGUACCUAAUCAGAAAGCCACGGCUAACUACGUG
This 497-nucleotide ribosomal RNA is filed under the name uncultured bacterium. RNAcentral describes it as "partial 16S ribosomal RNA". It matches the Rfam family "Bacterial small subunit ribosomal RNA", at positions 28 to 507 of the family's 1533-position model. The record is from RNAcentral.